Molecule: long non-coding RNA, 1121 nt
Organism: Oncorhynchus tshawytscha (Chinook salmon)
Lineage: Eukaryota; Metazoa; Chordata; Actinopteri; Salmoniformes; Salmonidae
Source: Ensembl
CCAUCAGACAGCCACAUCUCCCCCACCACAGAGGUCACCCGCCCAUCAGACAGCCACAUCUCCCCACCACAUAGGUCCCCUCCCAUCAGACAGCCACAUCUCCCCCACCACAGAGAUCACCCGCCCAUCAGACAGCCACAUCUCCCCACCACAGAGGUCCCCUCCCAUCAGACAGCCACAUCUCCCCCCCCACCACAGAGGUCACCCGCCCAUCAGACAGCCACAUCUCCCCCACCACAGAGGUCCCCCCCAUCCCCCAUCAGACAGCCACAUCUCCACCCACCACAGAGGUCACCCUCCCAUCAGACAGCCACAUCUCCACCCACCACAGAGGUCACCCGCCCAUCAGACAGCCGUAGACAAUGCAUACCCUUGGCUUCACUGCUCUGUCUUUCCAAACCAAAGAAGAAGGAGCUGGGAGCAUCCAUCUCCUUGAUCAUGGAGAACCUAGCUCUUACAAGUGCCCCCUUUGCUUUAACCUGGAAAACACUGCCCAGGUCCCUACAUAAUUCAGCUAAAUUAGCCUGGAGGCCUACAUUGCCUUGCCCCACCAUCUCUACCUCCAUCUCACUAAUACUACGCUCGAGUUCCCCCAAUACUCUCCUAGCCUCUGAGGAUGAUAGAGCUGUGUACUGUUGACAGAAAAGCCCAAUUUGGACUUUCACCACAUCCCCCUGUUGACUCUGAGACUCAUACUCCUCAUCUACACCACCAUCUAUAACAUGACUAGACCCAGCCUCAUCUAUAACAUCUAUAACCUGACUAGACCCAGCCCCAUCUACAACACCAUCUAUAACCUGACUAGACCCAGUCUCAUCUACACCACCAUCUAUAACCUGACUAGACCCAGCCUCAUCUACACCACCAUCUAUAGCAUGACUAGACCCAGCCUCAUCUACACCACCAUCUAUAACCUGACUAGACCCAGCCUCAUCUACACCACCAUCUAUAACCUGACUAGACCCAGCCUCAUCUACACCACCAUCUAUAACCUGACUAGACCCAGCCUCAUCUACACCACCAUCUAUAACCUGACUAGACCCAGCCUCAUCUACACCACCAUCUAUAGCAUGACUAGACCCAGCCUCAUCUAUAACAUCUAUAACAUGACUAGACCCAGC